CCCAUUGGUCUGGAUAACUGCGGGAAACUGCAGCUAAUACCGGAUGUACCCGCGAGGGGAAAGAUUUAUCGCCGAUGGAGGGGCCCGCGUCAGAUUAGGUAGUUGGUGAGGUAACGGCUCACCAAGCCUACGAUCUGUAGCUGGUCUGAGAGGAUGAUCAGCCACACUGGGACUGAGAUACGGCCCAGACUCCUACGGGAGGCAGCAGUGGGGAAUAUUGGACAAUGGGGGCAACCCUGAUCCAGCAAUGCCGCGUGAGUGAUGAAGGCCUUAGGGUUGUAAAGCUCUUUUGCCAGGGACGAUGAUGACGGUACCUGGAGAAUAAGCCCCGGCUAACUUCGUGCCAGCAGCCGCGGUAAUACGAAGGGGGCUAGCGUUGUUCGGAAUUACUGGGCGUAAAGGGCGCGUAGGCGGCCGUUCAAGUCAGAUGUGAAAGUCCUGGGCUUAACCUGGGGACUGCAUUUGAUACUGGAUGGCUUGAAUUCGGGAGAGGAUAGCGGAAUUCCCAGUGUAGAGGUGAAAUUCGUAGAUAUUGGGAAGAACACCGGUGGCGAAGGCGGCUAUCUGGACCGACAUUGACGCUGAGGCGCGAAAGCGUGGGGAGCAAACAGGAUUAGAUACCCUGGUAGUC
This 631-nucleotide ribosomal RNA is filed under the name uncultured bacterium. RNAcentral describes it as "bacterial SSU rRNA". It matches the Rfam family "Bacterial small subunit ribosomal RNA", at positions 129 to 795 of the family's 1533-position model. The record is from RNAcentral.